AUUCAACUGACAAGUCCCAAAUAGGACGAAACGCGCGUUCAACUGAAU
Molecule: non-coding RNA, 48 nt
Organism: Schistosoma rodhaini
Lineage: Eukaryota; Metazoa; Platyhelminthes; Trematoda; Strigeidida; Schistosomatidae
Source: Rfam